GAACCCUAGCCCCUUUCCCCGAUCCCCACAGCAGCCGCACACUCUCCUCGCUCGCAGCCUCCUCCUCUCCUCUCCCCCACGCCGCCGGCCUUGUCUCUCCCCCACGCCGCCGGCCUUGUCUCUUCGCUCGUCUCCUCCUCUCUUCCAUGCCUCCAUGGUUCCAGACUGGGAACUGGUCAUCGUCGUGCGAGAGCAGGGCAACGGGGUCUUCGCGGAGGAGUGGAGGGGGAGGAUGCGGACGACAGGGCGAAGGAGGUGGCUGGCGAGGAGGACAAGUAGCAGGGGGGAGGAGAAGGGUGACGCCUCGCACACCGUCUCCUCCCCGCGGCGGUUGGCCGGUCGACUCGUCGCGCCACCGCGUCCUCACCUCCUUUGCGCCAUGAGAGGCGCCGCCUCUGCUUCCACCCCCGCUUCCUGCUUCCUUCCUCCUUUGCACCACAGCUGCUGCUCUACUCCCUCCCUUGCCAGCCACCGGCUCACGAACCUCCCUCGUUUGGGCCAGGGCAGAAGGCCAUGGCGAAUCUUGCGUCUCUGGAAGAAGCAGCAGGGUUGGUGGAGCGUCGAAUACGGGCGGGGUCAACGGUUGAGGGAGGGUCGCCCACCGAAACAGCAGGAGAAAGACCUUGAGUGAAGCUGCAUCAUCCAACAUAGCGAGAUGAAGUACUCAGAAAAAAUUGCAGCAAGUGCGAUUGAUAGUCAAGGAAUUGAUUUGAUUCUGAAUCUUCCGUUCUUCAGAUUUGUCUGAAGUGGAACGGACGGUCGUCACCUUUGACUAAGCUGCUGAGCCCAAGAAAUGUGGCAGACUGGUGGCCUAGCUGUUCAACUUCUCAACACGGUUCAAUUUUGUCUUUGGUCAUCCUUGCAUACACUCGGCAGAGAAGUAUCUAUACUGAAUUUCUGCUCUAGGUAAUUUAUACUCAUAUAAUUUAUCUCUAAUACGCAGUCCAAAUCAUUAGUGCUAGAUCGACAAUUUUUAAGCCCUAUUUGUGGAAGUGCAUUGCAUGUGUAACUAAACUGGGCCUGCACUACUUGCUGCAUCUGUGUUGUAUGCGUUUAGCCAUGAUGUACUCGAGGAAGCUCGAGUUCCUCGACUUUUACAGGUACCAUCCGCCUCCCUCCCGAUAUUCAGAUCUCCGUAUUUGGUGAAUGCGGUGUUUUGGUUUUGUUUCUUGUAUGAUUUUGUGUGUAUGUGCUGGGAGUAUUGAUUCUAGGUGUUAUAUGAUAUGUAUAUUUCCGUGCGAACAUGUGUAGAGUGAGUCGUUGUUAUAUGCCUUGAACAUUAGAAAACCAGAUGAUCAGGAACAACAUAUAGGAAAGCUACUGGAAAGCUACUGUUGUUACCGUGUUGUGAGAUUAUGUAAAGCCUGAACAAGGAGAAUUUUGGGGGUUCCACUCCUUGAAUUUGGUCCAGAAUAAAUGGUUGUUUCCUAUUGCUUGUUCAAAAACUUGUCUGAAAUUAUCAGAGUGAUAUGAGUUCAGGUAUGGUUUGGACUGUCUGUGUGCUUUCUCAAACACAAAGCUAACGAAAAAAUGGGGAUUAUGUUUUUAGUUCGAGCGUGGAUACUCGGCAGUAGCGAUUUAGGUCUUUUUGUAGAACAGAAUGAUUAACUCGGUCUAUUUCUGGAAAACUGCACUGUAGAAGAUAUAUGUAUGAACGAUUGUAACACUGAAAAUGCAAAAUUUACAGUAUGUGGUAGUGAUGGUUGGUGGGGUGUGACUUUUUUGCUGGCAUUGUCCAGUGCAGUUUUAGGAUUUCUACUGAGUGGUGCCGCGUUCUGAGAUUUGUUUUUGUGUGUUGCUGUCUGCAGGAAAAUUCCUAGGGAUUUGAUUGACGGAGGCAUCAGUAUCUGGCAUUGUCCAAGAAGCCAUCGGUGGGGCUGGUGACUGUGGGAUGCUCGCUUGACCCCCUGUCCACAACAAAAACCGGAGGAACCUUCACUUUGUAUAGAUGGUGAUGGAUAUGGACAUAUAAGAACACCUCCCUUCCGAAAAUCAACUAGGGCAGAUAAGAAAACCCACCUGAGAAUCUAUUGUAUACCAUAUUUUUUAGCCUCUUAACAUGUCCAUGUACAUGUUGUAGUCUAUAUUUUGAUAUAGAAUAUAUUGUUACAUGCAACUGUUUGAGUUGGUGGGCCAUUGCUGCUGCCGGCUAAAAUUAUAAUAUUUGUAACUAAUAUUUUUGGUUGACAUAUUACUAGCGAAUUGGAUAUCAUAUCCCUAAACUAGGAAUUCUUUCAUUAUUGGAGGUUUUCAUCUGCAUAUACAAGGUAGCAGAAGAAGCAGGUGAGUGGCCUCUGUUUUGUUUCUUUAUGACAGUAUCCUCUACAUAAUGGUUGAAACGGUGUAUAGCCUGAAGCACGUGAUGUUUCUUUCAGUGUAUAUUUGUGAUUUAUGGCGUUUGAUGCGCAUAGGGCAGAACCUCACAUCACAUACAGUAUUAGAGAGGAAUGUUUUAACAGUUAGUGUUUCAAAGAUUUAUACUGUUUCAGCUAGCUAAUGAAUGUUUGUGGAGCUACAGAUUUGGUAUCAAAAGUACAUCAUUUGGGAAAUUGGGUUUUUAGUUAAUGUGUGUCAGGCAUCAAUAGUUUUGAAAUAUUACCAUGUUGCCGAGUAUAUCAUACAAUUAUAGGUGCAUUUAGUUCCCUAGAACAUUUGUUCUUGACUACCCAGUACCCAGUUGAGAUAUCACCAUUAGCGAAACCACAUUGGAGGUAAUUCUAUUAAGUCGGAAAAGCUAUAUGUUCCAGAAUUAUUGUUUAAUGAAGUACUCAUUUUGCUUUAUUCGUAUAAUAUGUCUUCCUGUUUUGUCAUCGACUUAAUAUUAUCCAUUGAAAGUUCUCCUUUUGUAAUGCGAGUGACCGACAGGACAAAUACCAUUAUGCAUCAAGUAUAGUCGAAGUAGAACUUUGUCCUGGUAUUAGUAGAUUACAUGCUAACGUGCAGAUAACAUGGUUCUGAAGUUGAAAAUCAUUGCCACAAUGUUACAGAUUAGAGUUUCCAAAAUAAUAUUAUACUCCCUCCGUCCGAAAAUACUUGUCGGAGGAAUGGAUGUAUCUAGACGCACUUGUCGGAAAAAUGGAUGAAAAUGGAUGUAUCUACAACUAAAUUGCGUCUAGAUACAUCCAUUCCUCCGACAAGUAUUUUCGGACGGAGGGAGUAGUAAUCACAUCCAUUUCAUUGGAUGUGACGUGAUGUAUCCUAUAUGCGGAGCCAUGAAAGAAAUGUAACUAUGGAAGUUGUAGAUAACAGUAUACAGUUGUUCGAGUGCUCUCUGGCUAAACCUGAUGCCUUUUGUACAUCAAGGCUCUGAAUUUUUGAAGGAUCACAACUUACUUUCAAAGUAACAAUAAUAUUUGGAAAAUAUCAGAGGUGACAGAGAACAAUUUAAUAGGAUAGUGGCAAAUAAGGCCCAUUUCCUUAAGGUAUCAGCACAUAACACUUUUCACUAAUUUGGCCAGUUAGCAAUGCUCUGGUUUGUGCCAGUCAGGAAUUGAGAGCGUCAGUAGUCUCUGCAUAAAUAACCAUCAGACUCGAGGUCAACACUGAGAGAGGGACUGCAUACAGUUUUGUUCAAGCAUACCCCUUCAAGUUAUAAUUGCAAUACACUAUGCUGGAUACAAAUGACCUUUCGAUUUGAACUAUUCAUAUUGUGUAAUUUGAUGACCUGGGCAGGAUCCAGGUUUCGGUUGUUAGCAACUAUAAUGAUCAGACUCUUUUCUCUUUUUGUAGGUAUGCUGGUCUUGAUGUGGUUUUGGACUGAAUGUUUCUCACUUGGAGGAAUGCUUUUUGCUAAAAUCAAUAUAUUUUUCAGUCCCCAACGAUUUUAUUCCUCAGCGCCCAAUGGACUUCUAUCAAUAUUUUCUUCCAAACAAUGUAUUGAAUUGACUAUGAUUCAUUGGAGUUAUUUGACAGAGAGAAAUAUUCUCUGUAUACUGGAUACAGUUACUCAUGAUAGGUCCUUUUACUCCCUAGCGACAAAUACACUCAUUUUUAGUUUUAUGUACCGCCAUUGACAUAUAUCUUUUCUUCCAAACUGUGAGACAUUAUGUAAAUGUACAUCGGGGAAUGUAUUAUGUACAUGUAUAUUAUUUCAAAUGGGUCUCUGCGAACAUGGUAGCAAGUAUUUUGUGCUAUCAGAUUAGAAUGUGUGUAUACAUCUCAUUGUUGACAACAAUGCACCAUAAUUAAGUUUCCCUUCUUUCAGCUUAUUUGUUGCUACCUGAGAUAGUACCAAGUAUGAUCUUUGGUUUGCCAUGUACGACACCGCGGAGUCAUUUUAUUAAGCUGGCAUUAGUAAUUUUGCAUUUUACAUAGUUCAUGUGCAAGUUAAACGUAUGUCCAAUAAUUACUAAUAUUAAGUUUAUAAUGUUGGCACAGUCUGUUAUUGCCGUUAUCUUCUUGGGAGUACUUGAGAAGGCGUGGCUGGGAAUGUGGGGACAUGCCAUGGCAGAGGCGCAUGGUCGGCAGGAGGAGUCAGGGAGGCCUGAAGGUGGACAUGUGGAUGUUAUCGCGGCAUUGACACAUUUCGCUCCACCGAUGCUACAUACCAGGGUGAGUGAAUGCUAUCAUGGCCUUAGAUGCCUUGUCUAAUUCUUGCUUGAAUUUUUGGUUUUGUAUGCUUGGAUGUAUGUUCAGUUCCUACAUUGUUUUUCUCAUGUGGAGUUGAAACCACAUCUGGUUGGUCCAAUAGCAAAUAAUGGUAUGUUUCACUCUGAAAUCAUAUUGCAUAUAGAGAGAUGUUCAUUGUUAGUCAUUGGGUUGUGGUAUGAACUGACGACUUUUAUAGUCAGUUUACCGUGUCAUCUAUUUAGAAUCAAGCAAAUUUGGGCCUAAAAAACAAUCAGGUCGACACAGUAAUUUUGGCAAAACGAGAGACUGUGAUUUUCCUCUCUUUAAUUUUGAAUUAUCUUUGACAGGAAAAUGUUUCCUUUUUUUGGUCUAACCUGUCGUAAUUUUGUCUCGUCGGUCCAUCUAUAUGAGAACCUUCGAAGUGGAAGUCACAAGGUGGAGCCUUUGACAGGAAAAUGUUUCCUGUGUUUUGGUCUAACCUGUCGUAAUUUUGUCUCGUCGGUCCAUCUAUAUGAGAACCUUCGAAGUGGAAGUCACAAGGUGGAGCCUUUGACAGGAAAAUGUUUCCUGUUUUUUGGUCUAACCUGUCGUAAUUUUUUCUCGUUGGUCCAUCUAUACGAGAACCUUCUAUGUGGAAGUCACAUGGUGGAGUCUCAGUAUGUUUUUAUUCAAGGUAAGCUGAAAAGUUUUUACAUGAUAUUUGAACUGAAACUUAACUAUGUCAUGACUGAUACUUCAUUUAAGACUCCUGGCUGAUACUAUGACCAGAUCUUCUCCGUCUUGAUUCUUAAUGCCUUCUUCGUUUUAGUCUCCAUCUACAUGUGCAAUCAAUAUUUUGCUAGAGAUGUCUAUAUAAUUGUAUUGCACAUUGUUUUUCUGCUAUCUAAAUAACACUUUAGUUGGCUUUGGCGGUGGUGGUGCAGGAUUUGUUGGAAGCCACAGAGCGCACCCGAGAAAGAGAGGAGGAGAAUGCUCUGAAGAGAGGAAAUGAUAAGUUUUAUUGUUUUGUUUUAAGAGAAAGGGAUUUGAUAUGUAGUCCUCUGGCUUAUUUGUAUUCUACUAUGUGUAUGGCCAAAGAAAUCAUGAUUUCAUACACAUAUAUUUUUAAACAAAACCCUAUGUAUGUUUUGCUCAAACAGUGUCAUUGGAAAGCGCUCAUAUUUUCAAUGCGUACAUGAUUUUAAAUGGUUCUUUGUGAAGAUGGUAGCAAAUAUUUUGUGCUAUCAAAUUAAAAUGUGUGUAUAUACAUCUCAUUGUAGACAACAAUCGACCAUGUUUCUUAUUAAAGGUUAUUGCACCAUGGAUAAUUUUUUCCUUGUGCAUAGGGAUUUAGAGUGCCUCUGCAUCAUUUGGUGCAACAGAUCCC
Molecule: ribosomal RNA, 5935 nt
Filed under: Triticum aestivum (bread wheat)
Lineage: Eukaryota; Viridiplantae; Streptophyta; Magnoliopsida; Poales; Poaceae
Description: partial small subunit ribosomal RNA
Rfam family: MIR1120/MIR1122 microRNA precursor family (bases 3008-3163)
Source: RNAcentral